CAAAGAUUAAGCCAUGCAUGUGAGGCAGGAUC
RNAcentral lists this ribosomal RNA (32 nucleotides) under Chloroleucon foliolosum. RNAcentral describes it as "partial 18S ribosomal RNA". The record is from RNAcentral. Lineage: Eukaryota; Viridiplantae; Streptophyta; Magnoliopsida; Fabales; Fabaceae.